GAGCAUGUUGAGUUAAAGCCUGUAAAGCCUGUAGGUCGAACUAAGUAAUGAACGUUCACUCAAGACUUCUGCUGUUGUAGCUGAAGAAACAGAUGUUAAAAGAAAAGACCAACCUUGUAACUCAUCGUUCUGGAAGAAACGCAUUGUCCGUUUAUCACGGCACGUGGAUUGUUCUUCCCACAGGCUCAGUGUCAUUAUCAGCGUUGUUAUUUGGUAGAACCUUGUAGAUGAUCUUGGAUUUUUGAAUGAUUUACUUAUAUGGACACUUGUAAAUUGUAAAUUUUUUCUUUUUUAAUUUUAAUAUUUUUACAACAUUUAAUGUUAAGGCAUGAAAACAAAACCUGUGAAAACUAUGAGAAGAGUGCAUCUCUCUCAAGGAAGUCAGUAUUUUUUAACUGAUAGAAUCAUACUGUGCCUGGUAAAAAUCGUGUCAAUAAACAAUGAUUUGGAAUCCAAAAAAUACAGCAGGAGUUAAAUCCUAAUGGUGCAAAGGAGCUCAUUUCCAUGCUGUGUUUUGAAAUUCUCAGUGUCCACUCCUUGGUUUCUUUGAACUGCUGUAUGCAGUAGGAA
RNAcentral lists this long non-coding RNA (570 nucleotides) under Gallus gallus (chicken). Lineage: Eukaryota; Metazoa; Chordata; Aves; Galliformes; Phasianidae. The record is from RNAcentral.